AUUGAACGCUGGCGGCAUGCCUAACACAUGCAAGUCGAACGCGAAAGUUCCUUCGGGAAUGAGUAAAGUGGCGGACGGGUGAGUAACGCGUAGGAAUCUACCUUACAGUGGGGGAUAACCCGGGGAAACUCGGGCUAAUACCGCAUACUAUCUAAGGAGCAAAGCGGGGGAUCUUCGGACCUCGUACUGAAAGAUGAGCCAGCGUUGGAUUAGCUAGUUGGUAGGGUAAAGGCCUACCAAGGCGAUGAUUCGUAGCUGGCCUGAGAGGAUGAUCAGCCACACUGGGACUGAGACACGGCCCAGACUCCUACGGGAGGCAGCAGUGGGGAAUAUUGGACAAUUGGCGAAAGCCUGAUCCAGCAAUGCCGCGUGUGUGAAGAAGGCCUUCGGGUUGUAAAGCACUUUCAGCGGGGAGGAAUGGCUCAAGGUUAAUAUCCUUGGGAAGUGACGUUACCCGCAGAAGAAGCACUGGCUAACUCUGUGCCAGCCGCCGCGGUAA
Molecule: ribosomal RNA, 499 nt
Filed under: uncultured bacterium
Lineage: Bacteria
Description: partial 16S ribosomal RNA
Rfam family: Bacterial small subunit ribosomal RNA
Source: RNAcentral